GGCAGAGAACCCACCUCCAAGUAAGAAUUGUGGACGUCAGUGCCUGAUGACAACGUUACACAUUAAUAGGGCCCUCGGAAAUCACACCAUCUUCAAAUUGAUGAUAAAUUUUUAGUUGUGAGGGAACACAAGUGGUACACCAUGUGUUUUUAUGUAAGUGGUAAGAAAUUUUAUUUUCUAAGUUAUUAACUUUGUAACACACAUAUCCCAUCAUUUAUAUAGCGACACGUGGUGUACCACCCCGUGUGAUGGUCACAUUGAAAAAUCUCUCCAAAUUGAUAUAGGAAAAUACCAAAUAAAUUUAAUUGUGUAAUACUAGAGAGAUAAAAUUUGUAGAUAAAAUUAAAAAAAAACUAAAGUACAUGGAAGUUGAUGAUUGGUUUACUACUUAUACGUUGAUAAACAUGAUUAUUCUUAUCGGUGACACAUUAUUUAAUUUGCAAAUUUAGUUUUCAAAUUUGAUCUCCCUAGUAUUACCCAAUUAAAUUAUGUGACCUUUGUAGAUAUAAUUGUUUUUAAUCAUAUGAUUCACGACAUGUAUAAUUUACUCAUGCAGUUGACUGUCAUAAUGUAGAUUGCAGGCAGUCUACUUAGUAAUGCUCAUGUGUUUAUUAUAAUAAUGUUUCUAAUUAGAGAUGCAUUUUGUACCGAAAAUGAUUUUCACACCUCCAAAUCUCCUCGUCUUCAAAUUAAUAUUAUAAUAAUAUUAACAUAACUUAACUAUAACCGUUCAAAUAAUAAGAGAUUGGAAGAAAAAGAGAUUUGGAAGGAAAAUAAUCCUGCUUCAUUUUACACAGUUGGUAGCUUCAAGCAUCGGUUAACGAAUAUAAUUUAAAGAGUAAUGCUAGAGAGACUCAAUUUGUAGAUUAAAUUUUAUAAAUUAAAUGACAUGAAAGUUAGUGAUUAAAUUAUUACUUAAAUCGUUGAUAAACGUACUUAUUUUUUAUUUGUGACACCUCAUUUAGUUUGUUAAUUUAGUUUACAAAUUUAGUCACCCUAGCAUUCCUCUAAUUUAAAUAAAUGGAUAUGGUGUGAAAUCGUUGCAUGCACACCACAAAAAUGACGUUUUGGAUUUCAACGUGUUCUUAAUUUUUUUUCAUUUAUCUUUCGGUCUCAAGGGAAAAUUUUAUAGGACGGCAAUAAGGCCGGCAAUGCUGUAUGGCACAGAAUGUUGGGCGGUGAAACAUCAACACGUACACAAAAUGGGUGUAGCGGAGAUGAGGAUGCUUCGUUGGAUGUGUGGGCACACGAGAAAGGAUAAGAUUAGGAAUGAGGAUAUCCGGGGUAAAGUAGGAGUAGCCGAAAUUGAAGGAAAGAUGAGAGAAAAUCGGUUACGGUGGUUUGGACAUGUGCAAAGAAGGCCUACUGACGCUCCGAUUAGAAGAUGCGACUAUGGGACAGAGGUUCAGGGCCGAAGGGGUAGAUGAAGACCUAGGAAAACUUUGGAAGAGACUCUAAGAAAAGACUUAGAGUACUUGGAUCUAACGAAGGACAUGACACAGGAUCGAGCACAAUGGCGUUCUAAGAUUCAUAUAGCCGAUCCCACUCAGUGACUUGGAUUUUCCAAGUCUCCAACCAAGAAGUUUUCCUCACUCGGGAAAUUAAGGGAACACUACCCCAACCUACAUGCUCCACUCAGAAAGCUUCAACAUACAAGCUUCAACAAAAGAAAAUUCAAAGAACUUAGCGAAG
This 1692-nucleotide long non-coding RNA is filed under the name Malus domestica (apple). RNAcentral's name for it is "long non-coding RNA (MDOM_LNC001359)". Lineage: Eukaryota; Viridiplantae; Streptophyta; Magnoliopsida; Rosales; Rosaceae. The record is from RNAcentral.